RNAcentral lists this ribosomal RNA (496 nucleotides) under uncultured bacterium. RNAcentral's name for it is "partial 16S ribosomal RNA". It matches the Rfam family "Bacterial small subunit ribosomal RNA", at positions 28 to 506 of the family's 1533-position model. The record is from RNAcentral.
GAUGAACGCUGGCGGCGUGCCUAAUACAUGCAAGUCGAGCGAACAGAUGAGGAGCUUGCUCCUCUGACGUUAGCGGCGGACGGGUGAGUAACACGUGGAUAACCUACCUAUAAGACUGGGAUAACUUCGGGAAACCGGAGCUAAUACCGGAUAAUAUAUUGAACCGCAUGGUUCAAUAGUGAAAGACGGUUUUGCUGUCACUUAUAGAUGGAUCCGCGCCGCAUUAGCUAGUUGGUAAGGUAACGGCUUACCAAGGCAACGAUGCGUAGCCGACCUGAGAGGGUGAUCGGCCACCCUGGAACGGAGACCCGGUCCAGACCCCUACGGGGGGCGGAGGUGGGGAUCCUUCCGCAAUGGGGGAAAGCCUGACGGAGCAACCCGGCGGGGGUGAUGAAGGCUUUCGGAUCGAAAACCUUUUUUAUAGGGAAAAAAAAAAUGUUUAGGUAACAAUGCAGUUUUUACCGGAACUUAAUCAGAAGCCCCCGGUUAACUACGU